UCAGUUCUCAUCAGAACACAGCGUGGACAUGAGGACCCUCACUCAGCUCCUGGGGUUCCUGCUGCUCUGGAUUCCAUGUGCCAGAUGUGACAUCCAGGUGACGCAGUCUCCAGCCUCCCUGUCUGCAUCUACAGGAGGCACAGUCUCCAUCACUUGUCGGGCCAGCCAGAGCAUUAGCAAUGCGUUAAGCUGGUACCAGCAGAAACCAGGGAAAGCUCCUAUACUUCUAAUCUAUGGUGCAAAGUAUUUAGCAUCUGGGAUCCCCUCCAGAUUUAGUGGCAGUAGAUCUGGGACACAGUACACUCUCACCAUCAGCAGCCUGCAGCCUGAAGAUGUUGCCACUUAUUACUGUCAACAGUAUUAUAAUUACCCUCCCACAGUGAUACAAGCCAUAACAUAA
Non-coding RNA from Perognathus longimembris pacificus (Pacific pocket mouse), 400 nucleotides. Lineage: Eukaryota; Metazoa; Chordata; Mammalia; Rodentia; Heteromyidae. The record is from the annotation of a RefSeq genome assembly.